AGGACGAACGCUGGCGGCGUGCUUAACACAUGCAAGUCGAGCGGAAAGGCCCUUCGGGGUACUCGAGCGGCGAACGGGUGAGUAACACGUGAGUAAUCUGCCCCUAGCUCUGGGAUAGCUCCGGGAAACCGGGAUUAAUACCAGAUACGACCACUUUAGACAUCUUCUGUGGUGGAAAGACUUCGGCUAGGGAUGAACUCGCGGCCUAUCAGCUUGUUGGUGAGGUAACGGCUCACCAAGGCGACGACGGGUAGCCGGCCUGAGAGGGCGACCGGCCACACUGGGACUGAGACACGGCCCAGACUCCUACGGGAGGCAGCAGUGGGGAAUAUUGCGCAAUGGGCGAAAGCCUGACGCAGCGACGCCGCGUGGGGAUGAAGGCCUUCGGGUUGUAAACCCUUUCAGCAGGGACGAAGCGAAAGUGACGGUACCUGCAGAAGAAGCGCCGGCUAACUACGUGCCAGCAGCCGC
RNAcentral lists this ribosomal RNA (471 nucleotides) under uncultured bacterium. Its description in RNAcentral is "SSU rRNA". It matches the Rfam family "Bacterial small subunit ribosomal RNA", at positions 26 to 518 of the family's 1533-position model. The record is from RNAcentral.